This 253-nucleotide ribosomal RNA is filed under the name uncultured prokaryote. Its description in RNAcentral is "partial 16S ribosomal RNA". It matches the Rfam family "Bacterial small subunit ribosomal RNA", at positions 525 to 777 of the family's 1533-position model. The record is from RNAcentral.
ACGGAGGGUGCAAGCGUUAUCCGGAUUCACUGGGUUUAAAGGGUGUGUAGGCGGAUAUUUAAGUCAGUGGUGAAAUCUCAAGGCUCAACCUUGAAACUGCCAUUGAUACUAUUUAUCUUGAAUAUCGUUGAGGUAGGCGGAAUAUAUCAUGUAGCGGUGAAAUGCUUAGAUAUGAUAUAGAACACCGAUUGCGAAGGCAGCUUACUAAACGAUCAUUGACGCUGAGGCACGAAAGCGUGGGGAUCAAACAGGA